Molecule: ribosomal RNA, 429 nt
Filed under: Bacteroidota bacterium
Lineage: Bacteria; Pseudomonadati; Bacteroidota
Description: Bacteroidetes bacterium partial 16S ribosomal RNA
Rfam family: Bacterial small subunit ribosomal RNA
Source: RNAcentral
UAGGGAAUCUUCCGCAAUGGGCGAAAGCCUGACGGAGCAACGCCGCGUGAGUGAUGAAGGUCUUCGGAUCGUAAAACUCUGUUAUUAGGGAAGAACAAAUGUGUAAGUAACUAUGCACGUCUUGACGGUACCUAAUCAGAAAGCCACGGCUAACUACGUGCCAGCAGCCGCGGUAAUACGUAGGUGGCAAGCGUUAUCCGGAAUUAUUGGGCGUAAAGCGCGCGUAGGCGGUUUUUUAAGUCUGAUGUGAAAGCCCACGGCUCAACCGGGGAGGGUCGUUGGAAACUGGAAAACUUGAGGGCAGAAGAGGAAAGUGGAAUUCCAUGUGUAGCGGUGAAAUGCGCAGAGAUAUGGAGGAACACCAGUGGCGAAGGCGACUUUCUGGUCUGUAACUGACGCUGAUGUGCGAAAGCGUGGGAAUCAAACAGG